AGCUCCCCGAGUGGUGAGGAUGAUUAUUGGGCCUAAAGCGUUCGUAGCCGGUUUGGCAAGUCUCCCGUUAAAUCUACCGAUUCAAUCGGUAGGCUGCGGGAAAUACUGUCAGACUAGGAGGCGGAAGAGGCCGGCGGUAGUCCCGGGGUAGGGGUAAAAUCCUAUAAUCCCGGGAGGACCACCAGUGGCGAAGGCGGCCGGCCAGGACGCGCUCGACGGUGAGGGACGAAAGCUGGGGGAGCGAACCGGAUUAGAUACCCGAGUAGUCC
Molecule: ribosomal RNA, 269 nt
Filed under: uncultured archaeon
Lineage: Archaea
Description: partial 16S ribosomal RNA
Rfam family: Archaeal small subunit ribosomal RNA
Source: RNAcentral